Molecule: ribosomal RNA, 2140 nt
Filed under: Escherichia coli
Lineage: Bacteria; Pseudomonadati; Pseudomonadota; Gammaproteobacteria; Enterobacterales; Enterobacteriaceae
Description: partial 23S ribosomal RNA
Rfam family: Bacterial large subunit ribosomal RNA
Source: RNAcentral
GGGUUGUGAGGUUAAGCGACUAAGCGUACACGGUGGAUGCCCUGGCAGUCAGAGGCGAUGAAGGACGUGCUAAUCUGCGAUAAGCGUCGGUAAGGUGAUAUGAACCGUUAUAACCGGCGAUUUCCGAAUGGGGAAACCCAGUGUGUUUCGACACACUAUCAUUAACUGAAUCCAUAGGUUAAUGAGGCGAACCGGGGGAACUGAAACAUCUAAGUACCCCGAGGAAAAGAAAUCAACCGAGAUUCCCCCAGUAGCGGCGAGCGAACGGGGAGCAGCCCAGAGCCUGAAUCAGUGUGUGUGUUAGUGGAAGCGUCUGGAAAGGCGCGCGAUACAGGGUGACAGCCCCGUACACAAAAAUGCACAUGCUGUGAGCUCGAUGAGUAGGGCGGGACACGUGGUAUCCUGUCUGAAUAUGGGGGGACCAUCCUCCAAGGCUAAAUACUCCUGACUGACCGAUAGUGAACCAGUACCGUGAGGGAAAGGCGAAAAGAACCCCGGCGAGGGGAGUGAAAAAGAACCUGAAACCGUGUACGUACAAGCAGUGGGAGCACGCUUAGGCGUGUGACUGCGUACCUUUUGUAUAAUGGGUCAGCGACUUAUAUUCUGUAGCAAGGUUAACCGAAUAGGGGAGCCGAAGGGAAACCGAGUCUUAACUGGGCGUUAAGUUGCAGGGUAUAGACCCGAAACCCGGUGAUCUAGCCAUGGGCAGGUUGAAGGUUGGGUAACACUAACUGGAGGACCGAACCGACUAAUGUUGAAAAAUUAGCGGAUGACUUGUGGCUGGGGGUGAAAGGCCAAUCAAACCGGGAGAUAGCUGGUUCUCCCCGAAAGCUAUUUAGGUAGCGCCUCGUGAAUUCAUCUCCGGGGGUAGAGCACUGUUUCGGCAAGGGGGUCAUCCCGACUUACCAACCCGAUGCAAACUGCGAAUACCGGAGAAUGUUAUCACGGGAGACACACGGCGGGUGCUAACGUCCGUCGUGAAGAGGGAAACAACCCAGACCGCCAGCUAAGGUCCCAAAGUCAUGGUUAAGUGGGAAACGAUGUGGGAAGGCCCAGACAGCCAGGAUGUUGGCUUAGAAGCAGCCAUCAUUUAAAGAAAGCGUAAUAGCUCACUGGUCGAGUCGGCCUGCGCGGAAGAUGUAACGGGGCUAAACCAUGCACCGAAGCUGCGGCAGCGACGCUUAUGCGUUGUUGGGUAGGGGAGCGUUCUGUAAGCCUGUGAAGGUGUGCUGUGAGGCAUGCUGGAGGUAUCAGAAGUGCGAAUGCUGACAUAAGUAACGAUAAAGCGGGUGAAAAGCCCGCUCGCCGGAAGACCAAGGGUUCCUGUCCAACGUUAAUCGGGGCAGGGUGAGUCGACCCCUAAGGCGAGGCCGAAAGGCGUAGUCGAUGGGAAACAGGUUAAUAUUCCUGUACUUGGUGUUACUGCGAAGGGGGGACGGAGAAGGCUAUGUUGGCCGGGCGACGGUUGUCCCGGUUUAAGCGUGUAGGCUGGUUUUCCAGGCAAAUCCGGAAAAUCAAGGCUGAGGCGUGAUGACGAGGCACUACGGUGCUGAAGCAACAAAUGCCCUGCUUCCAGGAAAAGCCUCUAAGCAUCAGGUAACAUCAAAUCGUACCCCAAACCGACACAGGUGGUCAGGUAGAGAAUACCAAGGCGCUUGAGAGAACUCGGGUGAAGGAACUAGGCAAAAUGGUGCCGUAACUUCGGGAGAAGGCACGCUGAUAUGUAGGUGAGGUCCCUCGCGGAUGGAGCUGAAAUCAGUCGAAGAUACCAGCUGGCUGCAACUGUUUAUUAAAAACACAGCACUGUGCAAACACGAAAGUGGACGUAUACGGUGUGACGCCUGCCCGGUGCCGGAAGGUUAAUUGAUGGGGUUAGCGCAAGCGAAGCUCUUGAUCGAAGCCCCGGUAAACGGCGGCCGUAACUAUAACGGUCCUAAGGUAGCGAAAUUCCUUGUCGGGUAAGUUCCGACCUGCACGAAUGGCGUAAUGAUGGCCAGGCUGUCUCCACCCGAGACUCAGUGAAAUUGAACUCGCUGUGAAGAUGCAGUGUACCCGCGGCAAGACGGAAAGACCCCGUGAACCUUUACUAUAGCUUGACACUGAACAUUGAGCCUUGAUGUGUAGGAUAGGUGGGAGGCUU